GACGAACGCUGGCGGCGUGCUUAACACAUGCAAGUCGAACGGAAAGGCCCUGCUUUUGUGGGGUGCUCGAGUGGCGAACGGGUGAGUAACACGUGAGUAACCUGCCCUUGACUUUGGGAUAACUUCAGGAAACUGGGGCUAAUACCGGAUAGGAGCUCCUGCUGCAUGGUGGGGGUUGGAAAGUUUCGGCGGUUGGGGAUGGACUCGCGGCUUAUCAGCUUGUUGGUGGGGUAGUGGCUUACCAAGGCUUUGACGGGUAGCCGGCCUGAGAGGGUGACCGGCGACAUUGGGCCUGAGAUACGGCCCAGACUGCUACGGGGGGCAGCAGUGGGGAAUAUUGCACAAUGGGCGGAAGCCUGAUGCAGCAGCGCCGCGUGCGGGAUGACGGCCCUCGGGUUGUAAACCGCUUUCGCCUGUGACGAAGCGUGAGUGACGGUAAUGGGUGAAGAAGCACCGGCUAACUACGUG
This 468-nucleotide ribosomal RNA is filed under the name uncultured bacterium. RNAcentral's name for it is "partial 16S ribosomal RNA". It matches the Rfam family "Bacterial small subunit ribosomal RNA", at positions 28 to 507 of the family's 1533-position model. The record is from RNAcentral.